Molecule: ribosomal RNA, 253 nt
Filed under: uncultured bacterium
Lineage: Bacteria
Description: partial 16S ribosomal RNA
Rfam family: Bacterial small subunit ribosomal RNA
Source: RNAcentral
GACAGAGGGUGCAAGCGUUGUUCGGAAUUACUGGGCGUAAAGCGCGUGUAGGCGGCUCUGUAAGUCGGGUGUGAAAUCCCACGGCUCAACCGUGGAAGUGCACUCGAAACUACAGGGCUAGAGUCCUGGAGAGGAAGGUGGAAUGCUUGGUGUAGAGGUGAAAUUCGUAGAUAUCAAGCGGAACACCGGUGGCGAAGGCGGCCUUCUGGACAGUGACUGACGCUGAGACGCGAAAGCGUGGGGAGCAAACAGG